Molecule: non-coding RNA, 372 nt
Organism: Delphinapterus leucas (beluga whale)
Lineage: Eukaryota; Metazoa; Chordata; Mammalia; Artiodactyla; Monodontidae
Source: RefSeq, a predicted model, not a curated record
GCAACGCUUCUGUCUCAGGUUAAAAUGGUGAGUAGGCCUGCCGUUGCAGUGUCAAGCAAGUGGCUGGAGGGUAUUCGAAAAUGGUAUUACAAUGCUGCCGGGUUCAAUAAACUGGGCUUAAUGCGAGAUGAUACAAUAUGUGAGAAUGACGAUGUAAAAGAAGCCAUAAGAAGGCUUCCUGAGAACCUUUAUAAUGACAGGGUGUUUCGCAUUAAGAGAGCACUGGACCUGACCAUGAGGCAGCAGAUCUUGCCUAAAGAACAGUGGACAAAAUAUGAGGAGGAUAAAUUCUACCUUGAACCACAUCUGAAAGAGGUUAUUCAGGAAAGAAAAGAGAGAGAAGAAUGGGCAAAGAAAUAAUCAUGUAGUCUA